This is a long non-coding RNA of Oncorhynchus keta (chum salmon), 372 nucleotides long. RefSeq lists it as uncharacterized. The record is from RefSeq and is a predicted model, not a curated record. NCBI's taxonomy places the organism in Eukaryota, Metazoa, Chordata, Actinopteri, Salmoniformes, Salmonidae. The transcript has 3 exons.
GGGGGUUCAACCUAGAGUGUAGGGGGUUCAACCUAGAGUGUAGGGGGUUCAACCUAGAGUGUAGGGGGUUCAACCUAGAGUGUAGGGGGUUCAACCUAGAGUGUAGGGGGUUCAACCUAGAGUGUAGGGGGUUCAACCUAGAGUGUAGGGGGGUUCAACCUAGAGUGUAGGGGGUUAGGGUUCAACCUAGAGUGUAGGGGGUUAGGGUUCAACCUAGAGUGUAGGGGUUAGGGUUCAACCUAGAGUGUAGGGGGUUAGGGUUCAACCUAGGAUGUAGGGGGUUAGGGUUCAACCUAGGGUGUAGGGGGUUAGGGUUCAACCUAGGGUGUAGGGGUUAGGGUUCAACCUAGAGUGUAGGGGGUUAGGGUUCAA